UUUUCCCGAACACCCUGGAGCGGAAACGGAAAAGACAGUUUUUGCCGUCCUGACACUGAAAACGUGAAGCGGCUCCCGAGGCGGUAAACCAUCAGCUCUGCAUAUCUGAGCUCAAACUGCUGUCAGAAAGUUGGCGCUGUGGUAGUUUGCAUUGCGGCUGUCGCUACAUUGACUAUCUGUCAUAUUCAUGCUGAAGGGAUUCACCAGCAGCCGCUGACUGUGGCCUUCCAGGCUCUGAAUAAAGCAGAGGAGGAACGGACCGCGGGCCCUCCAGCCGAUUUAAAUCUGCAGGGAAACUAAAAAAAACACAAGAGGAGGGAACCGGCAAAACAUCUUCAACACCAGCAAGACAAAUAUCAGCCGGGCGUCGCGACACGCCUGGAAUUGGACCAGUUUGUCAUGCACACCACGAGGGCACACAUUCAGGACCCGAUUCAAACUUCACUGCCUGCGAGCUGCAGACCAGGUUCUGCUUAAUACCACAGAGGAAACGGAGAAUAAACUGAUGUUGGCCUGGAAGCUCUCAGUUCAUCUCUGGACAGAACAAAUACAGAGUAAAGAGAUUAUCCAGGUUAAAAUGCACAAACCAAAGUUUCAUGUCUUUAAUUGUUUAUAAUGAACAUUUGCAUAGAAAU
Molecule: long non-coding RNA, 635 nt
Organism: Poecilia reticulata (guppy)
Lineage: Eukaryota; Metazoa; Chordata; Actinopteri; Cyprinodontiformes; Poeciliidae
Source: RefSeq, a predicted model, not a curated record